GCGGUCUGUCAAGUCGGAUGUGAAAUCCCCGGGCUCAACCUGGGAACUGCAUUCGAAACUGGCAGGCUUGAGUCUUGUAGAGGGGGGUAGAAUUCCAGGUGUAGCGGUGAAAUGCGUAGAGAUCUGGAGGAAUACCGGUGGCGAAGGCGGCCCCCUGGACAAAGACUGACGCUCAGGUGCGAAAGCGUGGGGAGCAAACAGGAUUAGAUACCCUGGUAGUCCACGCCGUAAACGAUGUCUACUUGGAGGUUGUGCCCUUGAGGCGUGGCUUCCGGAG
RNAcentral lists this ribosomal RNA (277 nucleotides) under Salmonella enterica. RNAcentral's name for it is "partial 16S ribosomal RNA". It matches the Rfam family "Bacterial small subunit ribosomal RNA", at positions 575 to 851 of the family's 1533-position model. Lineage: Bacteria; Pseudomonadati; Pseudomonadota; Gammaproteobacteria; Enterobacterales; Enterobacteriaceae. The record is from RNAcentral.